AUUGUAACAUUUAUUUUGGAAAAUCAGGAUAUGAAUUGAAGAACAAUGUGAAAUUUGUCCAAAAAGGAUGCAUGCGGGUUCUCAGUCACAAUGUGGUAAAUGAGCCAGCGUGAGUGCUAAUUUCUUUACCAGCUAUCAAGCAUUCUCUUAGCUAAUUUUCAAAAGCCUUUGCAAUACACAAAACUAUCAUAAAAGUCCAAAUGUCCAGGCUGCAGUAACAUCUUUUCCUUGAAAAUUGCAUUAUUUAUUCAUGUUUAUCUGUUUACAAUAAAUUAGAAAAAAAAAUAAAAAUGUACAGCCAUAACAUACUUCAGAGAAUGGAACCAUUUGUUCUUGAUGAGAAAACAUUGUUUUCUUUGGGAUUUGUUUGAGCAAAAAGUCAGCAAUAAGAGUACUUAACAUAGUAAAAUCCUUUAUUUUUCAGUUCUAUGGGUGGUUUAAAAUCAUUUUAGACACAUAGGUUAAGGAUUUAGGCAAAUAAAAGAUUACUUUGAUGUACUCACCUUCAAGUCUCUCUAUACCAGCUUAUGCAAUGCCACACUUUCCCACCACUUCUUUGGAUUAGACUGCAAAAUUGAUAUCGUUCAAAUACACAAAAAGCAUAAAUGACUUCAAUGAAAAUAUAAUUCUUGCUGUGUCAGAGACUACUACAUACUCCCUAAAUGAAUAUAAACCAUUUAGGACUAGAACUGAAGAAGAAUAAAGCUGAUAUUAAAACAAACAACAACAACAAAACAACUCCUGCAAAUUAACUAUUAAUGUCCAUACUAUCCUGUGUAAAAAGUCGCCUACAACACCUUUGGUUUUGAGGAGUGAUAAUGACUGCCAUAUGGUCACUGGAAGUUGUAUCACUGUCUCCAGGUUUCAGCACUGUUCUCCUGAAUGGACUGAUAGAUGUGGAAAUGCAAAGUCCAGUGUCCUUUAAAGUUAACAGGAAAACCUUCAGUAACUAAUUAUGAUUACAUCUCUGUGUGUAAAAUAAAUAGGACCAAGACCCAGUUUUCCCAGGUUCUACAACAUUAUUCAACCGGCUUCCAUAGCAAACUUACCUAAACUUGGACCUCAUACCUAAUUCUCCCAAAAAAGGUUGUUUCACUUUUCAGUUUAAUUUCAUUCAGGUGAGAAUAUGCUUAUUUUCUGGGGAUAUCAACCUGGAUUUCAUCCUUUUGGUUUCAGUUGGGUGCAUAGGUUCUCAGCUGGUAUCCUGUGGACACUGUAGCAGAUAAGCUUAGCGCUGAGAUCAACGAUGAGAAAAUUCAUACCGAGUAUUACAGGAUAACAAAAGGAAGAAGCUGUCAGAUUUCUUAACAUGGCUCUUUGUGUCAGAAAUAUGAUUCAUAGGGUGAUGUAUGUCCAGUCCAGACACUCAGGGAGUGUAUCUGCACACUGCCCUGUGUAUCCAAUUAGAGAAAGCUCACUUAUGAAGUACAUUUCUCUUCCACAAUAUAUGUGAGGGCCAAGAUGGAGGCAAUGAAAUAUUCACAGAAAUGCAGACAAGUCAUGAAAAGUCCAUUUUUUAAAUCCUACCAUCCCGUUUUGAAAAGGAGCUAGAAAUGUAAACCAAGCUAUUGUGUGACUCUUGCACAAAUUAGCUCUCUGAGAAUCCAAAAUAGAACAGAUUUAUGCUAACAACAGGCUGAGGGAGAUUACUUGCAAACAACAAAGGCAGCCUGGCCAGCAGUUUAGGCCUUCUCUUGUUAAGAAAAUUUUCCCAUCUGUAACUAAAUCAAUUAGUUAUACCAGUGCAAAACCCUGAUAGAGACAUGCUGCACCAGCAUGAAUUGGGGCUUAAAGCCAUUUAGGUUAAUUCAAUAAAUCCUUGUCAGCAUUGCUUUGAAGCAAAGGAUACCAUGGAAGCAAGAGUUUAUCUGGGGUAAAGGGACUGACUGACAUGUAGGUAGGUAUCGAGCUGUCAUUCUUCUGGUUAUGAGCAUGUGCAGCUGGGAGAAUAUAUGUGGCAGGUCUGAUUUGGAUCUCAUCUCAAGCCUGUGUAAUGAGGAAUGACGCUCUUUCCCUUGCAGCCCUUUCUAUUCAAUAACUGAUCUUAAACUAAUUUUCAAACUCUUUAAUCUUGAGAUGCAACAUGACAAUUAUAAAUGCUGACCCUUAACACACUAUCUCUUCUGGAAUAAGACCAGACUGUCAUCUUUCUCUCCAUCUCUCUCUUCUCAGCCUUCCCAUUUUCUGUGUGGCAGCCCAGCCAAGCCUACCACUUUCUUCCUUGUCAGAAGCACUGGUGUCUGCAGGAAGGCACAACACAACCCUCAGAAUUGCUGCAUGAGGUGGGUUCUUCCUCACUAAUAACUUGCUGGUUCAGAGAUGUGCUCUGAGGAGGUCAUCAGUGGUGUUACAAGAAGAAAGAGCAGCUACAACAGAGGAGCGCUGCCGUAUUCCCCUCAUUGACGCCGACACUGGUCACUGGCUGGGGCUCGGAGGAAGACAGCGGGACGUCAGAGACGAUGCAAGAGGGCUCAUCUUCUCUCUGGGCUUUCCAGUCCUUAAAACUCCAGGUUUUCAUCCACAGACAAGCCACAUGUUUGGCACUCCCAGGCUGAUUUCAAGAUGGACAGACCAAUGGCCAUUAAGAACAUACCUUUCUUCAUCCUAGUGCCUGAUUCAGCUUCUUUUAGGUUAUAAAAUCAAAGGAUUCCUUAUAAACUACAUGGGGGUAAUUGGGACAAAUGAAAAAAAUGAUCAUUGCUUUUGUUGUACUGAAUAUGUUUGUGUAAUACACAAACAUAGAUGUUUUUGUGUGUGUCCUAUAUAUAUAAUGUAUGAUUUAAAGUCUAGUAAAGGGUGUUAGGACAGACUGAGCUGGAUGGAUGUAUCAGAUAUAUCUAGACAGUGCUAUUUCCCUUGGCAAGGUCGUCCACAUUCUAGUGAUCUGCAGCCUGAACUUGUCCUGAGUAUCCUCAUUGUAAUAAUUCUGAAUUUUUUUUUUACAUGAAUUUUCCCAGUUGCUUUCUGAACGCAUGUAAAAUUUGGCAUCUACUACACUGACCUCCCACGACAAUCAAGUGCACAGUUUAGCUCUUCACAGUGUACUUAAAUUCCUCCUCUUUUUGUGUCUGAGACAUCUUAGUUAGAUUUUAUGUUCUUCUGAUGUUGUAAGACUCAGUGAAUAAUAACUUUCUAUCUGUCUCUUCUUUCUGCUCAUGUUUUCAUCAUGUCCCUCACAUCUAUCCCUCUGUUAUGUUUUUUCCAAGCUGAAGUGUUCUUCUCUAGUUAGUUGUCUUUCAUACAGAAGCUGGUCCUCUGAUCAUCCUUCCUCUUUCCAGCCUAUUUUAAUGUUACAAUAUACUUUUCAAGACUGAAGAGAUAGAACCAUCUGUAUUAUUGAAGUUAUGGUCAGAAUAGGUUUAAAUAAUCAUGUAGUGAAGUUUGCUGCUGUUGUCAUCAUCCUAGUGCUUCCUACCAUUCAUCUUAUUUGCUUGACUCUUCUUAUUUGCUUGACCAGUACAGAGUGUUGAGCUAACAUUAUGAAUAUGACGUGUAGAUCUUUUUUCUAAACACGUCAAAUUGCAUUUAUCAACUUGAAAUAUAUCUGCCUUUUUAUUGCUUCAUACAAUCCAUUGGCAAUACUCUAGACAUUUUGGGCUUACUUAAGUUGAAUAGCUUAGCAUCCUUGGCAAAUUCAAAUUCUAGACCUUUUAUGCAUA
Anas platyrhynchos (mallard) is the source of this 3659-nucleotide long non-coding RNA. RefSeq lists it as uncharacterized. The record is from RefSeq and is a predicted model, not a curated record. Lineage: Eukaryota; Metazoa; Chordata; Aves; Anseriformes; Anatidae.